Trichonephila inaurata madagascariensis is the source of this 79-nucleotide non-coding RNA. Lineage: Eukaryota; Metazoa; Arthropoda; Arachnida; Araneae; Nephilidae. The record is from the annotation of a GenBank genome assembly.
GCCGAAAUAAGAUCAGUUGGGGAGAGCGUUAGACUGAAGAUCCUAAAAAGGUCUCUGUGGUUCAAUCCGGGUUUCGGCA